AUACGGAGGGGGCUAGCGUUGUUCGGAAUUACUGGGCGUAAAGCGCGCGUAGGCGGUUUGCCAAGUCAGGCGUGAAAUCCCCGGGCUCAACCUGGGAACUGCGUUUGAAACUGGCAGACUAGAGGCCGGGAGAGGGUAGUGGAAUUCCCAGUGUAGAGGUGAAAUUCGUAGAUAUUGGGAAGAACACCGGUGGCGAAGGCGGCUACCUGGACCGGUUCUGACGCUGAGGUGCGAAAGCGUGGGGAGCAAACAGGAUUAGAAACCCCGGUAGUCC
This 274-nucleotide ribosomal RNA is filed under the name uncultured bacterium. Its description in RNAcentral is "partial 16S ribosomal RNA". It matches the Rfam family "Bacterial small subunit ribosomal RNA", at positions 523 to 796 of the family's 1533-position model. The record is from RNAcentral.